Molecule: long non-coding RNA, 831 nt
Filed under: Ananas comosus (pineapple)
Lineage: Eukaryota; Viridiplantae; Streptophyta; Magnoliopsida; Poales; Bromeliaceae
Description: long non-coding RNA (ACOM_LNC027551)
Source: RNAcentral
UUUUUUUGUUAAAAUAAUUGUUUAAUUCUGCUCAAGUUAAUAAAACAAAAGGAGAAUAUAUAAUAUGAGAACGGGUAAAAAUAAUUUUUAUAGACAAAGAAUAAAAAAAAGAAACUAGACUAGUAUACUAUUAAUAGUACGAAAUCAUUGGUGCUACCAAAUUUUCAACUCUUGAACGAAGGAAUGUAUUGUUAUGAUACUUACGGUCCCCUAAUGUUGAGUGGGUGGCUGGUUGAAUACUACAAUCUAACAUGUGAAAAUAGUUAAAGUGAUAAAUUUAACGGUAAAAACUUGAUAGCACCAAGUAUUUGGUGCUAUUGAUAGCAUUAUAACCGGACUCCAAAAAAAAAGAAAAGAAAUUUGAUAUUACGAUAAAGAUUUUUUUUUGAUUGAGAGAAAAAUAGCAAGCUAUCCACUUUUUAAAAAUUUGAUACAACUAGACUUCCAACUUAGGAUCUCGAAUAUCAACCAUCAAACUUUUAACAAAUCUAAAGUAUUGAAAUAAAAAGUUCGAAGGUAAAAUACAAAAAAUAAUACAUUCACUUACAGAUUUUAUAAUAUUUUAUAUAUUAUGAUACACUGAUUCGAAGGAUUUCAAUUGGAUGGCUGAUAUAGUUAAAAGUUUGAUAUUUAAUCCAUUAGCAUAAAAAUAAUUACAACCGACAAAAGUACUAAUAUAAAAGUAAAUAUCACUUAAGCUUAAAUUAAAAUCAUACAACUUUGUANAUAUUUUAUAUAUUAUGAUACACUGAUUCGAAGGAUUUCAAUUGGAUGGCUGAUAUAGUUAAAAAAAAGUGAUUUAAUCCAUUAGCAUAAAAAUAAUUACAACCG